RNAcentral lists this non-coding RNA (27 nucleotides) under Homo sapiens (human). Lineage: Eukaryota; Metazoa; Chordata; Mammalia; Primates; Hominidae. The record is from RNAcentral.
UUCAGGUUAGCCAAGGUAUGGUGCUCA